UUAUCACAAGAUAAUUUAUUUACAUGAGUUUGUUUGAUUGGCACCAUUUUAAAUAAUCAUGCCUGGAUUCUGUCUCCCUUCCCUCAGCUUGGCCUCAGCUGAAAGAAAAGUUCUCUUGCUUGUGCUUUAACAUGGUUGAUCUGGGCGGGUCUGGAGGAGCUCUGGAAGUCUGUAAAGGAGCUUCUCCUCCUCUGUUGUGCUGUGUCAACCACCAAGUUGUGCCAGCCGAGAAUUGUGGUCUCAGGUCUCCAUCCAGAUCUUUGAUUGUGUGGCCACAUGGAUUCAGGCAGCUGAACACGAGCAUGGAGGCACAGGCUUUCCCUCUAAGGGUCUCAGGAAGACCACCAAACAUCAGAGGAAACCGAGGCUGAGGUCUACAUGCAACAGUCUUUGAAGAGCACGAGAACACACUGAGACCAGCAGAAAGGUAUAUAAAGUUUGUUAAGUUGAGAAACUCAGAUAAUCUGUCCGGCUGUGCCUAGCUCCUCUGGAUUUAAGGGACCUUCUUUUUCAUGGAAAGGAGUUUUUCUGGAGAUCAGCCUCUGAAGGUGGAGCCAAGGCCAUGAUCACAGGUCUCCUGUGUGAGAAGUCAUUUCCUGAUGCUCCCGGCAUUCUUCCAGAAACCCCUCUUUCCACUUUCUAAUGCUGCCAUAAUUACCUAUAGGUAACAAAAUAUUUUCUGCCCGUUCUUACUAGAAAAAUGUGUGAAGAGAGGGUAGAUAGGUUCUAACCCUUGGUCUAUGAUGUAGGCCGUUCUUGCAUUGCUAUAAAGAAAUACCUGAGACUGGGUAAUUUAUAAAGAAAAGAGGCUUAAUUGGCCAUGAUUCUGCAGGCUGUACAGGAAGCAUGGUGCUGGCAUCUACUCAGCUUUGGGAGGCCUCAAGGAGCUUUCACUCAUGGCAGAGGGUGAAGCGGGAGCUUGCCUGUCACAUGGUGAAAGCAGGAGCAAGAAAGAGAGGAGGGAGCUGCCACAUGUGUUUAAACAACCAGCUCUUGUGCGAACUCACUAUCAUGAGGACAGCAUCAAGCCAUGAGGGAUCCACCCCCAUGACCCAAACACCUCCCACUAGGCCCCAACUCUAAUAUUGGGGAUUACAUUUCCACAUGGGAUUUGGAGGGGAUAAAUGUCCAAACUAUAUCUGUCCAUUUGUAAACUACAUGAAAUUUAGUCUAUUGACUUUAUAGUGUCUCUUUGUCUUUCUGUAUUGCUUGGUUCUUGACUAUUUGUGGGGAUAGUUGAUGUCAUAAAACAAAUGAGUUAUCACAGUCUCUGGAACUGUUAUUGAAAUGAUUUUUGCCAGUAUUUUUCUAGGAAUAUAUGUCAAGUUUUUAUGCUUUCAUUUUAAAGACAUUUUCUUUGUUUUCUAAAGAUAAAUAUUACUUAACACUAUCAGCAACUUCAUUUUCCACUUCACUUCUUUAGGAGUUUUAAAAAAACACUGAUUAGUGGCACUAAAAUAGUUAUAUUAAAUGCUCUGAAAUGUAGCUCACCAGAGAAUGUAGAUGAAUAAUAUUUUUCUUAGUAAAAUAUGCUGUUUAAACUCCUCUUCCUCUCUCAUUUUUCUUAAUCCUUCUCUUUCCAUUUCCUCUCUAUUAGUAAUUGGACUCAUUAGACUCAGCUACCUCCUUCUCUUCUGUUCUUUAUCUGGUAUUUAGUUAACACUAUAUUCUAGGUGCUCACUGUAGGAACUUAUACUCUAGAAGGGAGGGCAAUGUACAGAAAUUCCAUAAUAAAACAGAAUAUGUGCUUAAAUGCUAUAAGAGUUAUAAAAUGUAUUAGGAGAGAUUCUUCAUUAAGGAGAGAUGAUUCUUGAUCGAGUGAUCAUAAUGGUGAUUAAUUAGCAGAGAACAAGUUUUUAGAAAUGUACACUCUAUGUAAAUUUGUUUACGUUUUUCUAGAUUCUGGAUAUUAGUCCUUUGUCAGAUGGAUAGAUUGCAAAAAUUUUCUCCCAUUCUGUAGGUUGUCUGUUCAUUCUGAUGACAGUUUCUUUUGCUGUGCAGAAGCUCUUUAGUUUAAUUAGAUCCCAUUUAUCAAUUUUGGCUUUUGUUGCCAUUGCUUUUGGUGUGUUAGUCAUGAAGUCUUUGCCCAUGCUUAUGUCCUGAAUGGUAUUGCCUAAGUUUUCUUCUGGGGUUUUUAUGGUUUUCAAUUUUACAUUUAAGUCUUUAAUCCAUCUUGAGUUAAUUUUU
This is a long non-coding RNA of Papio anubis (olive baboon), 2187 nucleotides long. The record is from Ensembl. NCBI's taxonomy places the organism in Eukaryota, Metazoa, Chordata, Mammalia, Primates, Cercopithecidae.